RNAcentral lists this ribosomal RNA (425 nucleotides) under uncultured bacterium. RNAcentral's name for it is "partial 16S ribosomal RNA". It matches the Rfam family "Bacterial small subunit ribosomal RNA", at positions 354 to 796 of the family's 1533-position model. The record is from RNAcentral.
GUUAGGAAUAUUGGACAAUGGGCGCAAGCCUGAUCCAGCCAUGCCGCGUGAGUGAUGAAGGCCUUCGGGUUGUAAAGCUCUUUAGUCCACGAAUAUAAUGACUGUAGUGGAAGAAUAAGCCCCGGCUAACUUCGUGCCAGCAGCCGCGGUAAUACGAAGGGGGCGAGCGUUAUUCGGAAUCACUGGGCGUAAAGCGUGCGCAGGCUGUUUUGUAAGUCAGAAGUGAAAGCCCAGGGCUUAACCCUGGAAUUGCUUUUGAAACUACAGGACUCGAAUUCGGGAGAGGAUAGCGGAAUUGUCAGUGUAGCAGUGAAAUGCGUAGAUAUUGACAGGAACACCAGUGGCGCAAGCGGCUAUCUGGACCGAUAUUGACGCUGAGGCACGAAAGCGUGGGGAGCAAACAGGAUUAGAAACCCGAGUAGUCC